GUCGUGUUUGGGGUAGUGAUUGUGGUCGUGAUUGGGGUCGUGAUUGGGGUCGUGAUUGGGGUAGUGAUUGUGGUCGUGAUUGGGGUAGUGAUUGUGGUCGUGAUUGGGGUCGUGACUGGCGUCGUGAGGUCUGGAUGAGGAUGAGCUGGUUUUCAGCUGGAAUGCACUUUUAUACUGUGUGACGUUCAAUACUAGACUAUGAAUAAUGUCAAAUAAUAAAGUUGGUGUCUAUGGGAAAUAACUAAUGUUCUACUCUAUGUAUAUGCAUUUGUAAAUAUCACCGAAUACAAUUGUUAAAAGAGAAGAUACUUGUGUAAAAAAAAAUAAGUGUAAAAAACUGUCACUUUCAAACGGAGCACUUUUGGGACUAGACGUGGAUUCAUUUCAGACCUGACCUGACCUGACCUGACCUGACCUGACCUGACCUGACCUGACCUGACUGAACAGCACCAUGUAUUUUACAUUAGGGCAGACCACUCUAUAGAGCUGUGUGCUAAACCCAGGUUCUCAUGGAAAAGCCAAGUAUUAAAUAAAAUACAUUAAUGCUCUGUCUUUAACCUGGAAAAAGUGUUGUAGCCUACAGAACAUGCUCACUAGUUGUCCUCUUCAGCCAUGCAUCUGACUACAACCUAAAAGCCUUGCAUGCAAGGAUAUGUGAGGUAGAUUUCCAAGCCAGCAUUUCUGCGGUAGACCAGCAUUUAGAUUAAUUGCAUUUCAUUGGAACACCAUUGAACUGGACCAUGAAAACUUUCCUAUGCAGUGUUCUAUUCUCCAAUUCAAUUGUCACAAUCCCUGAAUUGACUGGAGUUGUAAUGGAAAUGACCCCAAAGAAUAUAUUUAUAGCUAUUGCUCACAAAGAAUAUAUAUAUAUAGCUAUUGCUCACCCCAGAAAUGUAUGUGGAACAUUUUACAGAGACACAAAGCAGCCCACAGAGACUGCUGUCAGCUUCUACUUUAUGUACCAUCUUCAAAAGUUUUGCACUGUUAACUUAACGUUGGCUCAGGUUGUGACAAACCCCCUGGUGAGAAGAGAAAGUCUACACAAUCACCAUGGAGACCACACUCACUUCCCCAUACCUGAGCCACAAUCUCUACAACCCUGACCCCAUUCACACUGUGUGAUGUCCUGUUGGAAUACUCUAAAAAAUACACCCUACCUUCAUUAACAUUUUAGACAUUUAGCAGAGGCUCUUAUCCAGAGUGACCUAUAGUAAUUAGUGCAUACAUCUUUCAUACUUUUUCGUAUUGUCGUCCAUUCCUAAGCGUGAUCUCUGAUGAGUCAAGGCUUUGAAAGGGAACCCUUACUUUUACCUUUUGAAAUUGUGUCAGAUCAGUGAUAAUUAAUUCAAGGAUGGGAGGAAGAAAGGAUGCAUUUUGAAUGUAUUCAAACUGGGUCAAGGACUUGACCAGACCCUGCCAGGAACACUGUAGUAGUGCACAAUCACUGGAGGGGAGAGGGGAGCAGGACCCUGGGGGAACACAUGGUUUGACCAGACCCUGCCAGGAACACUGUAGUAGUGCACACUCACUGGAGGGGAGAGGGGAGCAGGACCCUGGGGGAACACAGGGUUUGACCAGAGUGACCAUGGUUUAGCUGGUCAAACCCCAGUCCUGAUAUAGCUAGCCUCCAUAGUACUGUAUAGUCCAGACACCAUAGUAGAGGCUAUAAAAGUUAGCCAUAUCAGGGCUAGUCAAACCAGUCGAGGCUGCUGAGGGGAGGACGGCUCAUAAUAUUGUCCUGAAUGGAGCGAAUGGAAUCAAACACAUAUUUUGGGGGUUUUCAUGUGUUUGAUGCCAUUCCAUUCACUCCAUUCCAGCCAUUAUUAUGAGCUGUCCUCCUCUCAGCAGCCUCCACCUGAGUUAAAAACCAAUAAUAACCACACACCUGUAAAACACCUUCAUACGCUGUGCAGUAUGCUAUGUAGUUAAUGCCUCGCCGGCUAAGUUGCAAAAUAAAUGUACACACACAUGUUAUUCAACCCUUUCCCCACACCGCUCGAGCACGUGAAUGGGCAUCUGCAUAGCCAGGCGCUAAAAUCCAACUCCACACGCUGCAAGGACCAUCGCUAUUGGAUAUCAGGAUGACACAAACUCACGUGGUUUAUUGAAAGAUAUUCAUCAAAACUAGGUUUCCCUUUUUAUCUGUGGAUUAAUCGCCGGUGUAGAGAAACACAUGAUUUUUGUAUGAUCUGGGUCCAAAUUUGACAAAGAACCAGCUAAAAAGGGGACCGUAUGCAUGAUCAGGUUAAAAUAACCACCAUGUUCAUCUCCCAGGACAAAACUGCCUGCAACAGCUGUCUAGCUUAACCUCUCAUGUUUGUUGUGACCUGUCCCCAAGUUAAUAUAGUUGGUGCACAGUGUUUUUUGUUAUUUUAACAUGCGUGUUAUGGUUGCAUCUGGUGGGGAUAUACAAAAUCAACAUGUGUAUGAUGGCACACGCAGAAUCUGGCACGUAGUGUAGUCAGCAUGUAAGUCAGAGUGAUGCUUCCACUGAUUGAUCUCAAUCUGGAGAGGCCUUGGCUUGGAGUGUUGCUGUCACUAAACUACUUGAUUGAACUGAUUGUCACCUCCGGAGAAAAGGGAAGGAAACACCAAAUUGGUCCAAUCAAGGCAUGAUUAGUUGAAUCAGUCGCCUCCAGGCGCAGCGGCACUCCAGUACCAGGGCUUACUUAUCCUGGUUAACUUUUUUUAAAUGAUUCAGAGUCAGAAAGGAAAGUCAGAUUGUCAGGAGAUUUAUCAAGGUGUUUACCAAGACCAUUAAAUCCUAGUAAAAAUAUAGUGCAUUGUAAUUGCAGGUCCUGACAUAGCUACAUGUAGUGUUUCAGGGGUGUGUGGUUCUACUCUGUGUGUGUUCUGGAGGGUGGAAGGUGAACUUUGAACCCCACCAGACAAACCCAGGUUUGUCUCCCUUUGGGGCUUCAUCGCUCCUGCACGGUGUUGAUAAAAUUCCACGAUGGCGUGUUGAAUAAAGUGUAUUUAUUACUCUGUUGUAUUUUUCCUUUUCUUUUUUGUAAAUUUGAAUAAAAAAGGAUGUGUUUCAAAGAGAUGA
Long non-coding RNA from Oncorhynchus gorbuscha (pink salmon), 3049 nucleotides. RefSeq lists it as uncharacterized. Lineage: Eukaryota; Metazoa; Chordata; Actinopteri; Salmoniformes; Salmonidae. The transcript is spliced from 2 exons. The record is from RefSeq and is a predicted model, not a curated record.